AGCGGACUGAUGGUGCUUGCACUAUCACUUAGCGGCGGACGGGUGAGUAAUGCUUAGGAAUCUGCCUAUUAGUGGGGGACAACAUUUCGAAAGGAAUGCUAAUACCGCAUACGUCCUACGGGAGAAAGCAGGGGAUCUUCGGACCUUGCGCUAAUAGAUGAGCCUAAGUCGGAUUAGCUAGUUGGUGGGGUAAAGGCCUACCAAGGCGACGAUCUGUAGCGGGUCUGAGAGGAUGAUCCGCCACACUGGGACUGAGACACGGCCCAGACUCCUACGGGAGGCAGCAGUGGGGAAUAUUGGACAAUGGGCGCAAGCCUGAUCCAGCCAUGCCGCGUGUGUGAAGAAGGCCUUAUGGUUGUAAAGCACUUUAAGCGAGGAGGAGGCUACUGAAGUUAAUACCUUCAGAUAGUGGACGUUACUCGCAGAAUAAGCACCGGCUAACUCUGUGCCAGCAGCCGCGGUAAUACAGAGGGUGCAAGCGUUAAUCGGAUUUACUGGGCGUAAAGCGCGCGUAGGCGGCUAAUUAAGUCAAAUGUGAAAUCCCCGAGCUUAACUUGGGAAUUGCAUUCCAUACUGGUUAGCUAGAGUGUGGGAGAGGAUGGUAGAAUUCCAGGUGUAGCGGUGAAAUGCGUAGAGAUCCUGGAGGAAUACCUAUGGCGAAGGCAGCCAUCUGGCCUAACACUG
RNAcentral lists this ribosomal RNA (684 nucleotides) under Acinetobacter sp. A3MM2112. RNAcentral describes it as "bacterial SSU rRNA". It matches the Rfam family "Bacterial small subunit ribosomal RNA", at positions 65 to 742 of the family's 1533-position model. The record is from RNAcentral. Lineage: Bacteria; Pseudomonadati; Pseudomonadota; Gammaproteobacteria; Moraxellales; Moraxellaceae.